RNAcentral lists this ribosomal RNA (468 nucleotides) under uncultured bacterium. RNAcentral describes it as "partial 16S ribosomal RNA". It matches the Rfam family "Bacterial small subunit ribosomal RNA", at positions 28 to 507 of the family's 1533-position model. The record is from RNAcentral.
GACGAACGCUGGCGGCGUGCUUAACACAUGCAAGUCGAACGGAAAGGCCCUGCUUUUGUGGGGUGCUCGAGUGGCGAACGGGUGAGUAACACGUGAGUAACCUGCCCUUGACUUUGGUAUAACUUCAGGAAACUGGGGCUAAUACCGGAUAGGAGCCCCUGCUGCAUGGUGGGGGUUGGAAAGUUUCGGCUGUUGGGGAUGGACUCGCGGCUUAUCAGCUUGUUGGUGGGGUAGUGGCUUACCAAGGCUUUGACGGGUCGCCGGCCUGAGAGGGUGACCGGGCACAUUGGGACUGAGAUACGGCCCAGACUCCUACGGGAGGCAGCAGGGGGGAAUAUUGCACAAUGGGCGGGAGCCUGAGGCAGAAACGCCGCGUGCGGGAUGACGGCCUGCGGGUUGUGAACAGCUGUAGCCUGUGACGAAGCGUGAGUGACGGUAAUGGGUAAAGAAGCACCGGCUAACUACGUG